GCCAGCGCCGCUCCGAGCCGCCGGCGACCUCCGGCUCCUCCGCCGGCUCCUCCGCCGGGUGCCUCGCCGGCCCGGGGUCGAGGUUCACCGUCGCGGGGACCGCGGCCGGAGCAGCGGUGGCCGGCGCCUACUGGGACUCGUCGGCUGUGGACAUGGGGGGCAUAGCGAGCGUGGGGUAACGCCUGGCGGAGUCCGGGGGGGCGUGUGGGGGGGCCCGCCCCAGACAACCCUCGGCCUCGUCCCACGGAGACAGCCCGGGGGGGGCACGGCCACGGUCAGCCAGUGGCAGACAGGGUGCCGUGUCGUCCUCCACACUGUCCCCCGUGGAGCGCACGGCCACGUGGGUCCUCACCCUGCAGCAGGGGGACGAGGGGGGGG
This is a non-coding RNA of Petromyzon marinus (sea lamprey), 378 nucleotides long. The record is from RefSeq and is a predicted model, not a curated record. NCBI's taxonomy places the organism in Eukaryota, Metazoa, Chordata, Hyperoartia, Petromyzontiformes, Petromyzontidae.